CAUUUUCAUCUGGCUGGUUGAAGAGUUUUUGUUAGUCCGUAAAUACGCUCUCAUAUAAUAUCCGUGAGAGAGAGGGGGCUUUCCUUCCAUGUGCGAACUUUGUGAUAACUCGACAGGAUGUCACAUCGAUAGCAAAUACAUACUCACUGUAUUCGUGUCUGCCUACAUAGUCUUUGUUUAUAAGUUAUAUAAAAUUACUAAAAUUAGAAAAAACAUCACUUUUUCAAACCGAAAGGAAAACGAGUUGGUGGUUUACACGAGUAUUGAAACGAAAGUGAAACAAGUAGAUUCGAGGUCUCAUCUUUUCGAGGUCUGCAGGAAGAGGAGGAGGAGGUCCGAAAACAAGUAAUACAAAGAAUGUCAUCCCUACUUAUUCCCGAAGAACAAGAAAUGUUUCAAUCCGAAUCUGACACAAGUAACCAUGUUAUCUAUAUAUGGAUGCCCGUUGGAGUCAGUCAGGUCGGACAUGCAUCGUUGUGCUGAGUAACGGUGUAUAUGUAAGCUGGUGGCCACAAGAUAAGAAAUCAAAAUGUGGGUUUAAGAAGAAAGAAAAUAAAUGCAAUAGUAGCCUGCAGGGAGACAUCAAAGAAGAGGGCAUGGAUCCUGACUACACGUUUAAGAUACCCUCCACAAAGUUAGACCUGACUGACUGAUAUGACAACCUUUUGGAAUAAACAAAAAAGCACGGGUCACUAUUCCUUACUGAAACAAAACUGUUGCUGGGUUGUGUACCGCGUCCUCCGUGCAGGCAGAUCCCCAAUGAGUCAAACAAUUCUUUGGAGACCAGAAACUUUACGGAGGUAUCUGGUCAUUUACCUGGGUGGUGGAUCAGGAUUUUUUACUUUUUUUAACAUGCCAGAUUGGGAUUUACGUUUCAAAGAAAAAAUCACACUGUAUACAUGGAAUGCCAGAGGUGGGAGGGAAAAACACCAGUCACUAUUGCUAGAUAACUCAGUAUAUGUAAGCUGUUGGCCCCGUCACUUAUUGUCAGAAGGACAUGCUUCGUGCAGCUUACAAGACGAUCGAAGAAAGAUGGGUAGAGUGGAAGAUGAGGCACAUAUCCUUCCUAAUAUGACGUUGGAGUACCACCUCAUGAGGAGACGCUGGAAGCAAAUGAUGACAGAGGAAACAUCGGAAAUGGGGGCAGCUAAGUCGGACUGGGUCAUACGACAAAUUCUGAUUGCAGGUGGCGCUCCUAUAUUACUGCGAAUAGGAAUAAUAUGAUGAUGCACACUUGACUUUCUGAAAAUAAUCAACAUAUGACACAUUCAUUGGAUGACUGGAUGCGGAACAAUACAUAGAUUUAUUACAGCUUCUGUUUUAAGUCUCCUGAAGUUUGUGACGUGUGCUGCAAAUAGACUUUUGUUGCAACUUUGUACUCGCAUCUAAAGCCAGUCAAUACUCGAUUUAGAAAUUAAUAACCUACGAGCAACGAGAGAUUAUAUGUGUCUUGUGAAUAAAUUUUGUAAAUUCUGA
Molecule: long non-coding RNA, 1476 nt
Filed under: Haliotis rufescens (red abalone)
Lineage: Eukaryota; Metazoa; Mollusca; Gastropoda; Lepetellida; Haliotidae
Description: uncharacterized LOC124151585, transcript variant X2
Source: RNAcentral